GAUGAACGCUGGCGGCGUGCCUAAUACAUGCAAGUCGAGCGAACAGACGAGGAGCUUGCUCCUCUGACGUUAGCGGCGGACGGGUGAGUAACACGUGGAUAACCUACCUAUAAGACUGGGAUAACUUCGGGAAACCGGAGCUAAUACCGGAUAAUAUAUUGAACCGCAUGGUUCAAUAGUGAAAGACGGUUUUGCUGUCACUUAUAGAUGGAUCCGCGCCGCAUUAGCUAGUUGGUAAGGUAACGGCUUACCAAGGCGACGAUGCGUAGCCGACCUGAGAGGGUGAUCGGCCACACAGGAACUGAGACACGGUCCAGACUCCUACGGGAGGCAGCAGUAGGGAAUCUUCCGCAAAGGGCGAAAGCCAGACGGAGCAACGCCGCGUGAGUGAUGAAGGUCUUCGGAUCGUAAAACUCUGUUAUUAGGGAAGAACAAAUGUGUAAGUAACUAUGCACGUCUUGACGGUACCUAAUCAGAAAGCCACGGCUAACUACGUG
RNAcentral lists this ribosomal RNA (497 nucleotides) under uncultured bacterium. RNAcentral's name for it is "partial 16S ribosomal RNA". It matches the Rfam family "Bacterial small subunit ribosomal RNA", at positions 28 to 507 of the family's 1533-position model. The record is from RNAcentral.